This 1050-nucleotide ribosomal RNA is filed under the name uncultured bacterium. RNAcentral's name for it is "bacterial SSU rRNA". It matches the Rfam family "Bacterial small subunit ribosomal RNA", at positions 28 to 1068 of the family's 1533-position model. The record is from RNAcentral.
GAUGAACGCUAGCGACAGGCUUAACACAUGCAAGUCGAGGGGCAGCGGGGGCGUAGCAAUAUGCCUGCCGGCGACCGGCGCACGGGUGAGUAACACGUAUGUAACCUGCCCUAUGCAGGGGGAUAACCCGGAGAAAUCCGGCCUAAUACCGCGUAAUACCUUAGGGGAGCAUUCUCUUGAGGUUAAAGGAGAGAUCCGGCAUAGGAUGGACAUGCGUCGCAUUAGGUAGACGGCGGGGUAACGGCCCACCGUGCCGACGAUGCGUAGGGGUUCUGAGAGGAAGGCCCCCCACACUGGUACUGAGACACGGACCAGACUCCUACGGGAGGCAGCAGUGAGGAAUAUUGGUCAAUGGCCGAGAGGCUGAACCAGCCAAGUCGCGUGAGGGAAGAAUGUCCUAAGGAUUGUAAACCUCUUUUGUCGGGGAGCAAAAAGGCUCUGCGGAGUCGUAUUGAGAGUACCCGAAGAAAAAGCAUCGGCUAACUCCGUGCCAGCAGCCGCGGUAAUACGGAGGAUGCGAGCGUUAUCCGGAUUUAUUGGGUUUAAAGGGUGCGCAGGCGGCGUGUCAAGCAAGCGGUAAAAUAGCGGGGCUCAACCCCGUCGAGCCGUUUGAACUGGCGCGCUUGAGUUCAGGCGAGGUAGGCGGAAUUCGUGGUGUAGCGGUGAAAUGUAUAGAUAUCACGAAGAACUCCGAUUGCGAAGGCAGCUUACCAGUCUGCGACUGACGCUCAGGCACGAAAGUGUGGGUAUCGAACAGGAUUAGAUACCCUGGUAGUCCACACAGUAAACGAUGAGCGCUAGGUGUCCGGGUCGAAUGAGGCUUGGGUGCCCGAGCGAAAGCGUUAAGCGCUCCACCUGGGGAGUACGCCGGCAACGGUGAAACUCAAAGGAAUUGACGGGGGCCCGCACAAGCGGAGGAACAUGUGGUUUAAUUCGAUGAUACGCGAGGAACCUUACCCGGGCUCAAACGACUCAGGAAUAUAUUGGAAACGAUGUAGCCAGCAAUGGUCUGAGUCGAGGUGCUGCAUGGUUGUCGUCAGCUCGUGCCGU